Molecule: non-coding RNA, 138 nt
Organism: Triticum aestivum (bread wheat)
Lineage: Eukaryota; Viridiplantae; Streptophyta; Magnoliopsida; Poales; Poaceae
Source: Rfam
AUAAAGUUCCUUUUGGUAAGAAGUACUACUUGUCAUCAAAAUGGAUAAAAGGAGAUGUAUCUAGACGUAUUUUAGUUCUAGAUAUGUCCCUUUUUAUCCAUUUUUAUGACAAGUAUUUUCGGACGGAGGGAGCUUAUA